This is a long non-coding RNA of Daphnia magna, 383 nucleotides long. RefSeq lists it as uncharacterized. Lineage: Eukaryota; Metazoa; Arthropoda; Branchiopoda; Diplostraca; Daphniidae. The record is from RefSeq and is a predicted model, not a curated record. The transcript is spliced from 4 exons.
AACUGCCGUUGCCGUUGGUGGCCGUUGGGCCUUCCUUACUUAUUUUAUUUGUUUGUUUAUUAUUUACAAACAUUUAGUUUGAUGGUUAAAUUGAAAUUCUCAUUGUAAAUUCAUUAUCUAAGACUUUCAGCUUGUUUUGAGAAACAUCAGAGUUGAGACAGAACUAACUUGUUAUCAAUGGUGAGACAGAACUAACUUGUUAUCAAUGGAUAAUAUGGAUUCAAAUUCAGACUCUGCUCGUUUGGACAACUCUUCAGAGCUGACACAGAGCUAACACAGAGCUAACUUGUUGUCAAUGGAUUGACAAUGGAUUCAAUUUCAGACUCAGCUCGUUUGGACAAACUCUUCAGAGCUGACACAGAGCUAACUUGUUGUCGAUGGAU